Molecule: long non-coding RNA, 1037 nt
Filed under: Gopherus agassizii (Agassiz's desert tortoise)
Lineage: Eukaryota; Metazoa; Chordata; Testudines; Testudinidae
Description: lncRNA (ENSGAGG00000001157.1)
Source: RNAcentral
CCAAAUUCUUUUAUAAAGUAUUACACACUAUUUUUUAAAAGUUGAUCGUAUAUAGUAAAGUUACCUCACAUCUGUCUAAUCUAUCUACUUAUAGCACACAGAUCACCAUAGUAUCUGACUCUCUCUGAGUUAUGGGAGAAUGUUGUCUCUUCAGAUCCACACUUGAGGAGUCUUGAAAUUGGGCUUGCAGGUGUAAGAAACUUUCACAGUAGUGACUUUUAGAAGGUCUGACCUUGGAUGGAGUGUUUUCAAAAAGGAUAUAAAGAAAGAUGUUCCUCAGCUCCUUUCCACUGCUGUCUUCCAACCAACGAUAUUCUGAAGAAAACAGAAGGGUCAGUGUGAAUCUGCAGAGGCAAUAGAUUUGAACAAACAGUAAGGAAAAAACACAAAAUCAGCUUUAAGAAUCUAAAAAUCAGUGAGGUUUUGGAGGAAGAUAUCCUGGUACAAGAAGUACAACUACACAGUCACCAGUGGAUUUUAAUACUGGAAUUCUGAGAACUGAUAUUGUGGACCAGAUUCUCGUCUUGCCUACAGCAGGUUUCACUGGUGGAUGUAAUUUCAUUAUUUCAAGGGCAUUACACUGAUUAAAUCAAGACUAAGUGCAAGGAGGAUUGGGCCCUUCACAUUUAAUAAAGAACAUUUUAUAUUAAAUGUGUUUCUCUUCUAUAUGAAACUCUUCCAUAAGAAGGAAGCAGAAGAAACAAUAUUAGAAAUGUCAAAUCUCAUCGUCCUGGGUAUAGCUGGAGGAACUCCUGCAGAUCCUAGUGUGUAUGUAUUGUAAACAAAUGCAUAUUUUCCCCAAAAUGUUCAUUAGGUCAGUUCAAUGGGUAUUGCCAAAAUUCUAAACAACCUAAAACUCCCUUCCCCUCCCCUCUCAGCUAAGCUCUUGCUAUGAAAGCUCAAAUGUGCCAAGAAAUAAGAAGACAAAGGUGUCUAUAAACCACCUCCCUUGAUCCUGGGGCUAGCCAAGGUCUCAGCUGGUCUUUAGUACAAGUUAGAACAUCUUAUAGAUCCUUUUAAUGUAUUCUCAUCUGUAG